ACACAGACCUGGUAGGGGAAACACCAUGAUCAGAAAGGUGGUUUUCCCAGGGCAAGGCACAUCCAUUGCACUUUGGGAUGUGCUGACCCCUGCAUUUUCCCCCAAUGCGAGAAACUCGACUGCACAAUUUGUGGUAAUGGGGGACUGUGUUUGUGCUUUCCCCUG
This is a small nuclear RNA of Nannospalax galili (Upper Galilee mountains blind mole rat), 165 nucleotides long. Its record names the gene U1. It matches the Rfam family "U1 spliceosomal RNA". Rfam says of the family: U1 is a small nuclear RNA (snRNA) component of the spliceosome (involved in pre-mRNA splicing). Lineage: Eukaryota; Metazoa; Chordata; Mammalia; Rodentia; Spalacidae. The record is from Ensembl.